This is a non-coding RNA of Oryza sativa Japonica Group (Japanese rice), 4672 nucleotides long. The record is from RefSeq and is a predicted model, not a curated record. NCBI's taxonomy places the organism in Eukaryota, Viridiplantae, Streptophyta, Magnoliopsida, Poales, Poaceae.
GCAGGAACGUUAGGAACAGAAAAAUACAGCCUUAGAUCUAAGCCACGUUUCCACUUCCAUCCCGCGGCGCCGCCCGCUGUCUGCCUCCGUCCAGCCCCCACCGUCGCGGGCCUCCCUCUCCGGCGCGCGCCGCCUCGGUCGACGAGGAGGCGCGCCGCACCAUCUCAGAUCCCAAUGUCUGGAUAGCCGGGAGUUUGAAAAGAGGCUGCGGAAGCUCCCCAGUGAUGUGUAGGUUCUCAAGGUUCCUGUGCAUUUACCGAGAUUUGAAAGCGAGUGUAAAAAAAAUUGCAUCCUUGUGUUCUACAAAAAGUGUGCAGAGAAGAAUUACAGUGAAGUCAAGGCUGACAAAGCUGUGAACCAGGUUGGAACAUUGGAUGAACUGAAGUUGUUGUUGCCCAUGGAGCUGCAAAUGUGUUGUCAGAUUAGUUGUACUUACUGGCCAAAUGAACCAAAAGUUCAAUAUGCCAGAUACAAGGGUUUCCUAUGAUAAAAUUUCAGUAGAGUGUACCACAGUGUGUUCGGCACUUACACAACAUAUAGUGAAUCCAUUCCUGUCAAGUCUGGCAGAGGGCCUGUCAAUUUAUUGUUUUCUAGAUGCCUGACAAAGAAUAAGGUUGGUUAUUUGUUAGAAUUGAAGGCUAGCACAUUCAAAUACUGAUCAGAGAUUCAGAGUAACCAGAAAAUUACAAUUCUUGUAGUUUUGUGAGGCUAUUGAUGCUGGCAGGAACAGGUCCAGUCAGUUGGUAAUUUCUGUCGAGACGCCUGUGCAUAUUGAGUUGUAUGGAUUAUAUACUGAAUGGUCACUCAGUUAGAAGAAAGCUGGUUAUAAGCCUGCUCAGAAAAAGUAUGCACUUACAGGACUUCAAGUUUAGUUAAAAGGGUCAAUGUGGGAGGAAUGCCGCCAGUGAAAUUGUUGUUAUCAAGCAACCUGAAUGACAAGAACAAUGGGUAAUCUUGAGCAUGACAUAACAGAUUAAAAGUAAUGAAACAGUUUGCAAAUAUUAUCUAAGGUUAUCUUUGCCUUACAGAUGUAUGAGCUUCAUAUUUGAUUUGAAUAGCUGGCUUGGUAUGGUGCCUGAUAGCUGGUUGACCCCAAAAUGACUGAAUAAAGAGCAGUCCGAACAUUUUCCUUAGAAUGGAAGCGAGUGAACUGAAAGCCUGGUAGAUAUUUUAAGAAAGGUACUCACAAAUGCAGAGCGUUUGUCAAAUUGUCCAAUCCAGUAUUGGUUCCAUCAGAUACUGGAAGUGAUCCAGUCAGACGAUUUUCACCCAAGUCAAGCCAGUACAUAUUUGAAAGGUUGCCAAUUGAUGGAGGUAUACUUCCAGUAAACCUGUUGUUGUUCAAGGACCUGCAGCAAUACAAUCCAUCAACUCUUAUACCAUGAUACUAUAAGAAAUAAUACAAAGUUGAUACUCAGUUAGCAUUUCCUUUUGUUUGUUAUAUCCCCCAAAACAGAUAAAAACUAUUUUCUGUUUUACCUGGAAUGAAAUGGAAAUGGUUUCGAGCUAACAAAUAAGUCAAUGUGAAAAAAGAAGGGUUUUCAAAUUGAAAUUUCAACUAAGUCUAAACUACUGUCUUCAUUUACCGUCACAACUUUUUACCGUCACAACUUCUUAUUAACAUAAAAAAAAUGACGCAGGUAUAUGAGAUCAUUAACAAUAUUUUCCAAGUCAUUGAGAUCUUUACAGGAACCGCAGCUUUGGGAGUUGGCUGAGUUCUUUUGGUAUGUCACCAGAAAAUUGGCAGCCAACAACGCUCCUGUCAUGCACAAGAGAAAGCUUUCAAGGUUACUCAAGGAUCCAAUGUUCGGUGGAAGUGGACCGCUCAAGUUGUUGUAAGACAAGUCCCUGCAUAUGAUCAAAAUAGAUUCAUCAGCAUCAAACAAGGCAAAAGCUUGCCCAAACAGAUUCAGCACCAUUAAGCAAGAUCCAUGUUUUCAGGUCUUGUUUAUAGCACUGGAAAGCUUAGCACGAAUUUGACAAGAUAGUAGCACAUACAGGUACUGUAAUUCUGACAAUGACUGUAUGUCACCUGAAAGUGAUCCGGACAAUCCAAAACUUGACAGCCUUCUGCAAACCAUCCGAGAAAAAAGAGAGAGAGAAAAUCAUUAGUUGAAACAUAGAGGAAACAACAUGUUGAUUCCACAAAGUAUAAGAAAGGGCAAAGGGGAGAAAGAUCAUGUUGAUUUGGCUAAAAUGGUUCUUACAUUGAGGUGACACGAUUCUGGGUGCAGUACACUCCUGGCCAUUUUUCGCCGCAUGGAUCAUUACCAACCCAUUCUGAUAGCUUGGACUUGGCGUUAUCCCAGGAAGCUGCUAUGCCAUUUAGGGCAGAGGCUACAAAGCGAUGAGAGUGAAGAAACAUCAUCAUGAAACAAAAUCUAGUUUUUUACAGCAAAUUAACCAGAAACUGGAAUGAGACUGAAACACUUACUAUCUUGUGGAUCUGUAUCUGCUGAGAUUAUGAGAGCGUGGUCAAGAACAAUGAUCAGGAAGACUAACAGAUGGAUGAUCCUCCAAGAAGUUGGAGAAUGCCCCAUAGUGAUCUUGAUUUCAGGUUGCUGAGAAGCCCUUUCUUAUGCAAGGUUAGCAACUCUCCACUACUAAAAUUUUGUGCACUUGCAACUACGCGAUGUUAUGAAGGCUGAAUAGGCACAUCAGUUGUGUAUUAGUUAAUGGAAUCAGUCAAGAAUGUGACUGUCAUCUCCUCUCAAUGGAUGCCUUUUAAAAAAUCAUCCAAUUAAUGGUGAAGGCCCCAAAUUUUAUCAAGCGAGAGAGAGAGCAAUGCGAGUCAACUGUACGCUAUUGGCUGGCAGGGGAGCAUGAAGUUAUCUGCCAUGAAUUAGGAUCUGACUGAUUCAAAUUAUUAUUACCAUGUUUGAAGUAUCACUCCUUUUAAGAGAUUUAUAUGUAUUGCAUGCAUAUUAUAUUUGGUUGAAUGUUGUAGAUUUUAUUUGGUGUAUAUUUAUGGUAGGAUUGACUUUGGAAAAUUACCAAAGAUUGGGACCAUUUUGUUGUGUGCUUGUGUUGUAUGUGAGGCAUUUUCCAACGCGAUUCGACCCAAAACAUCUGACCAUGCAAGUGACAGAUGAAGAAAAUAAGGAUGGGUUCUAUCAAAGCCACCUUCUCAUGAUAUGCCAGUUGGUAGGAGUUAGGUAAAUAUAUCCCUGUAAAAGCUCAGAAGAGGACUACUUGGUCUAGGUGGCACUGUUGUAAGCAAGACUGGAACAACGGAGCUAAGGUCAGGAAAAGACACAGAAAGUCAAAAUUACCACCAAGAAUCCAGAAUUAGUUGGUGAAAUUCAUGUACAGAGUCAAAGGGCUAUCGCCCUCGUACAUGAAAGCUGAGGACAAAGUGAAGGAGAUUACUCUCAAAAUUGAUAUAGAAAGUUCCUGAAUGAUGCAAGUUACUGAGAUAUGAUCAGAUCUCAGGAGAGGAAGGUGCGUCCGGUUGCCGCUCUGGCAGCGCGGCUUGGAAAGCUGGAUGUUCCAUGUACGCUUCAUGAAGCCUGGCCAAGGAAAAUCUGACCACGAUGCGAUAUCAGUGCUUACCAUGUCGAUCCCAAAGCGCUUAAUGCCACCGUAUAUCUGGGGUUCCAGAAAGAGGUCUCCCUGUGCAUUAUCAAUGAGUAAACAAACCACAAAUCGGAAGGUUGAGUGAGCAACAAAAAACUGAAAUUCUCUGGCAAUAGUAUUACUUGCACAGUGAAAAACUGAAAAUAUGUAAUACUGUGCAUGACUGAGAUCAAGCACAAACCAGUUGGAUUUCAUCUCCAGUGGCAUAUGUAGUUGUGCAACCUUUCAACAUUUUCUCGAGAGCUGAAAUUCAGUAAAACAAUGCAGAAAUAAUGGCAAGAGUACAGAACCUGUGAAGCCCCUGUUGAGGUGAUAUUGGAUCCAGUUAACUUUCUCCUUGCCUUCAUUUUUGGGUCUUGUGGCAACAAAGGAUGUUGAGGCAAGAUCGCAAAGGAAUCCACGACGACUGUGUCGUCACCGUCGACCAGUGCCGGGACAUACUUCAUCGGGUUCAGCUUCUCAAAUUCUACCAACACAAAGCUCCGUUCCUUUACAUGCUACUCCCUCCAUUUCAUAUUGAGAUUGAUCGGCUUGUACUCGUAGUCCAGCCCCUUGAGGCUGAGGGCUAUGCGGACGCGGUACGAGCACGAGCUGCGCCAGAAGGAGUAGAGCUUCAGCCUCCUCUCCGGCGCCGCCGCUCCGGCGAUCUCACCAUGAGUCUGAGUGGAACGAAAGCAAGAAGAAGUGGCUGAUCAGCAAGAUUAACCAAACUGGGAGCUUAGCGGCCCUGCAGGCAGAGAGAGUGAAGCGGACGAGGGCGUAGCUAGCUACCUACCUGCCGAGCUUCGGGCGAGCCGGAGGAGGCCAUGGCGGCGGCGGCGCGUGGAGGUCAAUGGAUUGGAGGAGGCCGGCUGCCGGAGGGGAAGAGGGAGUGAUGCGGUGGAGGGGAUCGACAAAAACGAGGUUUCGAUCAGCGGUUGACCUGCUACCGUCUCUGCAUGCAUGCCGAGGGGAUUUUUGGACUAUUUGCCACUCUGAUGGUGUAUUCUCAAAUGCCACUUGUGUGUCAGUAUGUUUGUCUUCUCGUGUAUUACUUUUUAUCCGUAAGACACCACAUCAUUAGCUCCAAUGAUAAAUUACAAUCCGUUUGUCUUUU